Clupea harengus (Atlantic herring) is the source of this 636-nucleotide long non-coding RNA. The record is from Ensembl. NCBI's taxonomy places the organism in Eukaryota, Metazoa, Chordata, Actinopteri, Clupeiformes, Clupeidae.
GGAACCGCUUCGUAAGCCGUGUAUGUACCAUGUAAAAUUCAAAGUGGAAUUGCAUAUGAAGAAGUCCCUGGUGCCCAUCCACCUGAGCUGCGAACAGGUGGGCCUGGAGAUGCUGUGCCUGUGCGGUCAGCUAGACCUCCUCAUCCGAGCUCAGGUUCACCAGUUUCAAGAACAACUUAAACAGGAUUCCAGCCCCAUUGAAUCACAUGUUCUCCAAAGACAAGGAUCUGAUAUUAUAGAACAAAUGCAUCAGUGCCUUGAACACCUGCCCAAACCUGUGCCAGAACUUGAAGAUUACCUGGAUAUUGUGGGACUGUCCACUAUGUUUCCUCGAGUGGAGAUUUUUGUCAUACAUGGCAGCCCUGUAGAUAUGCUGGAGAAGCCAGCUAUGGAUGGGUACUUUCCAUAUAUUGGGAGACUUAACCAACUCCUUGUCCUCUGCCAACAACUCGAGGAUGAUGUCAGACAUCUAGGAAGUCACAAAUACAUUGCACAUCAGUUAUCAGUCAUUUAUCAAGUUCUUAGUUUGUUAAAGGGCAUCUUGCCCCUCGCUGGUAUAAGGAGAGGCAUCGAGGCUAACUUCAAAGAAAUUAAAAUGGCUCUGGUGCCCGUGGAAGGAUCCAAACUGGAGCCUCA